AGAAAUAUGUCUGAUAAAAGAGUUACUUUGAUAGAGUAAAUUAUAGAGGUUCAAAUCCUCUUAUUUCUA
RNAcentral lists this transfer RNA (69 nucleotides) under Aonyx capensis (African clawless otter). Its description in RNAcentral is "tRNA-Ile". It matches the Rfam family "tRNA". Rfam says of the family: Transfer RNA (tRNA) molecules are approximately 80 nucleotides in length. Their secondary structure includes four short double-helical elements and three loops (D, anti-codon, and T loops). The record is from RNAcentral. Lineage: Eukaryota; Metazoa; Chordata; Mammalia; Carnivora; Mustelidae. RNAcentral also lists the same sequence under 2 other names.